CCAGAGAGGGCACAUGUGCCUCAAUUGGCCUAUAGCAUAGUGGCUCAUUAUCCUUCCACCGCUGGUGGCGGGCGGUACUCGCUGCUCUGUGAAGCCAGCCUCACGCAAUGUCCGCCACUUUAGGUGUUGGGAUGCAAAGGCUUUCGCCAAGGCAUCCGAAACCCACUACACAACUUGGAAUGGGUGGUCCACAGUUUGUAGCAAUAGACCCAGGCACAUGCACCACAAUUGACAUUCACACUACCUUAUUGCCCCCGCUCGGGUUACAAGCAAUCGCUACUUGCUCAGCGAGUGAGGGGGUUCAAGACUACCUAUUUAAGGUGGUGUUGUACUGUAUGAGCCGGCGGUGUGGUAUUUACCAACUACAAAUAGUGUCAUGCAUGUGACUUGCUAGUUGACAAUGUCUAUUGUCGAGCUAGAUGUGGGCUAUAGAUGAAGCACAUUAGGAUAUAGUAGGCCUAUUUUGUUUUUUGUUGUUUUUGGGCCACUAUGGACUUUAUGUUGAUGUUGUGAAAUUUUUUCUUGUGUUUCCUCUUCCUACGAUGUGGAAAGUGGGUGCUUCAGAGAAGAAAGAAAGAGUGGCUAGCAUUGAUUUUACGUCAUACCAUUGAGAACACUAAUCAGAAGCAGAAGCAACAAUAUUUCAUACAUAUACAACACUUGUAAUCCAUAUAAACAACUUUCCUUUCAAAUAUAAUAUAAACCACAUGAUUUAUAUCCUGGGUCGGCUAUCUCCACAAAGGGCAAGAAAACGCUCCAAGUUUGUAGUAUAGCACUAAAAGUGUCGACUCUCACGAUUUCUUCCCGACAUAUGCAAACUAGACAGUAAUCACAUAAAAUAAAGAAAUAUGUGUUAACACAAACUUAUAGCAUGUAUUUCAACAUAUAGAUUUUUGAUUAUUAUGGUAGAUUAUAUAAUAUAGGGGUUCCCGAAAAAAUACAUAAAAAACAAGAGCAUUAAAAUUUCCUUUUCAGAUCUGGCUAACUGGUAAAGGGAGUUGGAGUAUCUGAGUUUCCAAAUUUGGGACGUCGCUCUAUAGAAGGAAUAUAAAUACAUUGGAAAAAAUUCUACAAGGAAAGGUUUAAUACAAGUAGCGCUAAGAAAAACUCAAUGAGGCUUUGGUCGCUUGGUCACAAAACUUGAGACAAGAAACACGAAGACACCAAGGUAAUUAGUAUGAGAGUUUUCCAAAUUUGGUGUCUUGAUGUAGAAAAAAUAAAUAUAUGACAAACUUGUUUUUUCGCAAGGCAUGGAUAAAUAAGUGGGGGUGAGCAAUAAAUUUCAUCCUAGAUUUAGAAGGAAUAAAUAUAUCACUAAAUACGUUUUUUCACAAUGCCAAGUUAAUCAGGUGGGAGCGAGAAACAAUUCUAGCGAGGCUAGGUUGUACUAGCCCAAAACUACAUACAACAGAGGAAAAAUAAAGAAAAUGAUGGUCUACCAAAUAGGGCGCAUGAGCCUUAAGGUGCACCUAGAGGGAAGUAGAAGAAAUAAAUAUAUAAUAGCAUAUGUUUUUCGCAAUGCAAGGUAAAGUGUAGAUGUGCUCUAACUGGGCUUAGAUUGCAGCGACACAUUAUGCAUCUACAAGGCUUGGUUGCACAUGGAAAAAGAUAGAGAGAGAAAUGUAGACGCAGGACCGGGAGAAAAACAUUCAAUGAGACGUGAUUGCACGGACAUAGAACUAGAUAUAAGACAAGAGUUAAAGAAAAAUAAAGGAACUAAAUUUUCUUCUGCACACUAAGCAUGAAUGGAGUUGUAGUAUCUGAGAUCAAAAUUUAAUUUAUUCCAAGAUGCAGAACAAAAACGUGAUACUCGUAAUGGUUACAUAGGAACAAAAGUAGAUAAGAAAAAUAGCAAAAAGAUAGUGGUCUACCAGAGAGGGCACAUGUGCCUCAAUUGGCCUAUAGCAUAGCGACUCAUUAUCCUUCCACCGCUGGUGGCGGGCGGUACUCGCUGCUCUGUGAAGCCAGCCUCACGCAAUGUCCGCCACUUUAGGUGUUGGGAUGCAAAGGCUUUCGCCAAGGCAUCCGAAACCCACUACACAACUUGGAAUGGGUGGUCCACAGUUUGUAGCACUAGACCCAGGCACAUGCACCACAAUUGACAUCCACACUACCUUAUUGCCCCCGCUCGGGUUACAAGCAAUCGCUACUUGCUCAGCGAGUGAGGGGGUUCAAGACUACCUAUUUAAGGUGGUGUUGUACUCUAUGAGCCGGCGGUGUGGUAUUUACCAACUACAAAUAGUGUCAUGCAUGUGACUUGCUAGUUGACAAUGUCUGUUGUCAAGCUAGGUGUGGGCUAUGGAUGAAGCACAUUAGGAUAUAGUAGGCCUAUUUUGUUUUUUGUUGUUUUUGGGCCACUAUGGACUGUAUGUUGAUGUUGUGAAAUUUUUUUCUUGUGUUUCCUCUUCCUACGAUGUGGAAAGUGGGUGCGUCAGAGAAGAAAGAAAGAGUGGCUAGCAUUGAUUUUACGUCAUACCAUUGAGAACACUAAUCAGAAGCAGAAGCAACAAUAUUUCAUACAUAUACAACACUUGUAAUCCAUAUAAACAACAUUCCUUUAAAAUAUAAUAUAAACCACAUGAUUUAUAUCCUGGGUCGGCUAUCUCCACAAAGGGCAAGAAAACGCUCCAAGUUUGUAGUAUAGCACUAAAAGUGUCGAUUCUCACGAUUUCUUCCCGACAUAUACAAACUAGACAGUAAUCACAUAAAAUAAAGAAAUAUGUGUUAACACGAACUUAUAACAUGUAUUUCAACAUAUAGAUUGUUGAUUAUUAUGGUAGAUUAUAUAAAAUAGGGGUUCCCGAAGAAAUACAUAAAAACAAGAGCAUUAAAAUUUCCUUUUCAGAUCUGGCUAUCUGGUAAAAGGAGUUGGAGUAACUGAGUUUCCAAAUUUGUGACGUAGCUCUAUAGAAGGAAUAUAAAUACGUUGGAAAAAUUCUAUAAGGAAAGGUUUAAUACAAGUAGGGCUAAGAAAAACUCAAUGAGGCUUUGGUCGCAUGGUCACAAAACUUGAGACAAGAAACACGAAGACACCAAGGUAAUUAGUAUGAGAGUUUUCCAAAUUUGGUGUCUUGAUGUAGAAAAAAUAAAUAUAUGACAAACUUGUUUUUUCGCAAGGCAUGGAUAAAUAAGUGGGGGUGAGCAAUAAAUUUCAUCCUAGAUUUAGAAGGAAUAAAUAUAUCACUAAAUAUGUUUUUUCACAAUGCCAAGUUAAUCAGGUGGGAGCGAGAAACAAUUCUAGCGAGGCUAGGUUGUACUAGCCCAAAACUACAUACAACAGAGGAAAAAUGAAGAAAAUGAUGGUCUACCAAAUAUGGCGCAUGAGCCUUAAGGUGCACCUAGAGGGAAGUAGAAGAAAUAAAUAUAUAAUAGCAUAUGUUUUUCGCAAUGCAAGGUAAAGUGUAGAUGUGCUCUAACUGGGCUUAGAUUGCAGCGACACAUUAUGCAUCUACAAGGCUUGGUUGCACAUGGAAAAAGAUAGAGAGAGAAAUGUAGACGCAGGACCGGGAGAAAAACAUUCAACGAGACGUGAUUGCACGGACAUAGAACUAGAUAUAAGACAAGAGUUAAAGAAAAAUAAAGGAACUAAAUUUUCUUCUGCACACUAAGCAUGAAUGGAGUUGUAGUAUCUGAGAUCAAAAUUUAAUUUAUUCCAAGAUGCAGAACAAAAACGUGAUACUCGUAAUGGUUACAUAGGAACAUAAGUAGAUAAGAAAAAUAGCAAAAAGAUAGUGGUCUACCAGAGAGGGCACAUGUGCCUCAAUUGGCCUAUAGCAUAGCGACUCAUUAUCCUUCCACCGCUGGUGGCGGGCGGUACUCGCUGCUCUGUGAAGCCAGCCUCACGCAAUGUCUGCCACUUUAGGUGUUGGGAUGCAAAGGCUUUCGCCAAGGCAUCCGAAACCCACUACACAACUUGGAAUGGGUGGUCCACAGUUGGUAGCACUAGACCCAGGCACAUGCACCACAAUUGACAUCCACACUACCUUAUUGCCCCCGCUCGGGUUACAAGCAAUCGCUACUUGCUCAGCGAGUGAGGGGGUUCAAGACUACCUAUUUAAGGUGGUGUUGUACUCUAUGAGCCGGUGGUGUGGUAUUUACCAACUACAAAUAGUGUCAUGCAUGUGACUUGCUAGUUGACAAUGUCUGUUGUCAAGCUAGGUGUGGGCUAUGGAUGAAGCACAUUAGGAUAUAGUAGGCCUAUUUUGUUUUUUGUUGUUUUUGGGCCACUAUGGACUUUAUGUUGAUGUUGUGAAUUUUUUUUCUUGUGUUUCCUCUUCCUACAAUGUGGAAAGUGGGUGCGUCAGAGAAGAAAGAAAGAGUGGCUAGCAUUGAUUUUACGUCAUACCAUUGAGAACACUAAUCAGAAGCAGAAGCAACAAUAUUUCAUACAUAUACAACACUUGUAAUCCAUAUAAACAACAUUCCUUUAAAAUAUAAUAUAAACCACAUGAUUUAUAUCCUGGGUCGGCUAUCUCCACAAAGGGCAAGAAAACGCUCCAAGUUUGUAGUAUAGCACUAAAAGUGUCGAUUCUCACGAUUUCUUCCCGACAUAUACAAACUAGACAGUAAUCACAUAAAAUAAAGAAAUAUGUGUUAACACGAACUUAUAGCAUGUAUUUCAACAUAUAGAUUGUUGAUUAUUAUGGUAGAUUAUAUAAAAUAGGGGUUCCCGAAGAAAUACAUAAAAACAAGAGCAUUAAAAUUUCCUUUUCAGAUCUGGCUAUCUGGUAAAAGGAGUUGGAGUAACUGAGUUUCCAAAUUUGUGACGUAGCUCUAUAGAAGGAAUAUAAAUACGUUGGAAAAAUUCUAUAAGGAAAGGUUUAAUACAAGUAGGGCUAAGAAAAACUCAAUGAGGCUUUGGUCGCAUGGUCACAAAACUUGAGACAAGAAACACGAAGACACCAAGGUAAUUAGUAUGAGAGUUUUCCAAAUUUGGUGUCUUGAUGUAGAAAAAAUAAAUAUAUGACAAACUUGUUUUUCGCAAGGCAUGGAUAAAUAAGUGGGGGUGAGCAAUAAAUUUCAUCCUAGAUUUAGAAGGAAUAAAUAUAUCACUUAAUAUGUUUUUUCACAAUGCCAAGUUAAUCAGGUGGGAGCGAGAAACAAUUCUAGCGAGGCUAGGUUGUACUAGCCCAAAACUACAUACAACAGAGGAAAAAUGAAGAAAAUGAUGGUCUACCAAAUAUGGUGCAUGAGCCUUAAGGUGCACCUAGAGGGAAGUAGAAGAAAUAAAUAUAUAAUAGCAUAUGUUUUUCGCAAUGCAAGGUAAAGUGUAGAUGUGCUCUAACUGGGCUUAGAUUGCAGCGACACAUUAUGCAUCUACAAGGCUUGGUUGCACAUGGAAAAAGAUAGAGAGAGAAAUGUAGACGCAAGACCGGGAGAAAAACAUUCAAUGAGACGUGAUUGCACGGACAUAGAACUAGAUAAAAGACAAGAGUUAAAGAAAAAUAAAGGAACUAAAUUUUCUUCUGCACACUAAGCAUGAAUGGAGUUGUAGUAUCUGAGAUCAAAAUUUAAUUUAUUCCAAGAUGCAGAACAAAAACGUGAUACUCGUAAUGGUUACAUAGGAACAUAAGUAGAUAAGAAAAAUAGCAAAAAGAUAGUGGUCUACCAGAGAGGGCACAUGUGCCUCAAUUGGCCUAUAGCAUAGCGACUCAUUAUCCUUCCACCGCUGGUGGCGGGCGGUACUCGCUGCUCUGUGAAGCCAGCCUCACGCAAUGUCCGCCACUUUAGGUGUUGGGAUGCAAAGGCUUUUGCCAAGGCAUCCGAAACCCACUACACAACUUGGAAUGGGUGGUCCACAGUUUGUAGCACUAGACCCAGGCACAUGCACCACAAUUGACAUCCACACUACCUUAUUGCCCCCGCUCGGGUUACAAGCAAUCGCUACUUGCUCAACGAGUGAGGGGGUUCAAGACUACCUAUUUAAGGUGGUGUUGUACUCUAUGAGCCGGCGGUGUGGUAUUUACCAACUACAAAUAGUGUCAUGCAUGUGACUUGCUAGUUGACAAUGUCUGUUGUCAAGCUAGGUGUGGGCUAUGGAUGAAGCACAUUAGGAUAUAGUAGGCCUAUUUUGUUUUUUGUUGUUUUUGGGCCACUAUGGACUUUAUGUUGAUGUUGUGAAUUUUUUUUCUUGUGUUUCCUCUUCCUACGAUGUGGAAAGUGGGUGCGUCAGAGAAGAAAGAAAGAGUGGCUAGCAUUGAUUUUACGUCAUACCAUUGAGAACACUAAUCAGAAGCAGAAGCAACAAUAUUUCAUACAUAUACAACACUUGUAAUCCAUAUAAACAACAUUCCUUUAAAAUAUAAUAUAAACCACAUGAUUUAUAUCCUGGGUCAGCUAUCUCCACAAAGGGCAAGAAAACGCUCCAAGUUUGUAGUAUAGCACUAAAAGUGUCGAUUCUCACGAUUUCUUCCCGACAUAUACAAACUAGACAGUAAUCACAUAAAAUAAAGAAAUAUGUGUUAACACGAACUUAUAGCAUGUAUUUCAACAUAUAGAUUGUUGAUUAUUAUGGUAGAUUAUAUAAAAUAGGGGUUCCCGAAGAAAUACAUAAAAACAAGAGCAUUAAAAUUUCCUUUUCAGAUCUGGCUAACUGGUAAAGGGAGUUGGAGUAUCUGAGUUUCCAAAUUUGGGACGUCGCUCUAUAGAAGGAAUAUAAAUACAUUGGAAAAAAUUCUACAAGGAAAGGUUUAAUACAAGUAGCGCUAAGAAAAACUCAAUGAGGCUUUGGUCGCUUGGUCACAAAACUUGAGACAAGAAACACGAAGACACCAAGGUAAUUAGUAUGAGAGUUUUCCAAAUUUGGUGUCUUGAUGUAGAAAAAAUAAAUAUAUGACAAACUUGUUUUUUCGUAAGGCAUGGAUAAAUAAGUGGGGGUGAGCAAUAAAUUUCAUCCUAGAUUUAGAAGGAAUAAAUAUAUCACUAAAUAGGUUUUUUCACAAUGCCAAGUUAAUCAGGUGGGAGCGAGAAACAAUUCUAGCGAGGCUAGGUUGUACUAGCCCAAAACUACAUACAACAGAGGAAAAAUGAAGAAAAUGAUGGUCUACCAAAUAUGGCGCAUGAGCCUUAAGGUGCACCUAGAGGGAAGUAGAAGAAAUAAAUAUAUAAUGGCAUAUGUUUAUCGCAAUGCAAGGUAAAGUGUAGAUGUGCUCUAACUGGGCUUAGAUUGCAGCGACACAUUAUGCAUCUACAAGGCUUGGUUGCACAUGGAAAAAGAUAGAGAGAGAAAUGUAGAUGCAGGACCGGGUGAAAAACAUUCAAUGAGACGUGAUUGCACGGACAUAGAACUAGAUAUAAGACAAGAGUUAAAGAAAAAUAAAGGAACUAAAUUUUCUUCUGCACACUAAGCAUGAAUGGAGUUGUAGUAUCUGAGAUCAAAAUUUAAUUUAUUCCAAGAUGCAGAACAAAAAUGUGAUACUCGUAAUGGUUACAUAGGAGCAAAAGUAGAUAAGAAAAAUAGCAAAAAGAUAGUGGUCUACCAGAGAGGGCACAUGUGCCUCAAUUGUCUUAUAGCAUAGCGACUCAUUAUCCUUCCACCGCUGGUGGCGGGCGGUACUCGCUGCUCUGUGAAGCCAGCCUCACGCAAUGUCCGCCACUUUAGGUGUUGGGAUGCAAAGACUUUCGCCAAGGCAUCCGAAACCCACUACACAACUUGGAAUGGGUGGUCCACUGUUUGUAGCACUAGACCCAGGCACAUGCACCACAAUUGACAUCCACACUACCUUAUUGCCCCGCUCGGGUUACAAGCAAUCGCUACUUGCUCAGCGAGUGAGGGGGUUCAAGACUACCUAUUUAAGGUGGUGUUGUACUCUAUGAGCCGGCGGUGUGGUAUUUACCAACUACAAAUAGUGUCAUGCAUGUGACUUGCUAGUUGACAAUGUCUGUUGUCAAGCUAGGUGUGGGCUAUGGAUGAAGCACAUUAGGAUAUAGUAGGCCUAUUUUGUUUUUUGUUGUUUUUGGGCCACUAUGGACUUUAUGUUGAUGUUGUGAAAUUUUUUUCUUGUGUUUCCUCUUCCUACGAUGUGGAAAGUGGGUGCGUCAGAGAAGAAAGAAAGAGUGGCUAGCAUUGAUUUUACGUCAUACCAUUGAGAACACUAAUCAGAAGCAGAAGCAACAAUAUUUCAUACAUAUACAACACUUGUAAUCCAUAUAAACAACAUUCCUUUAAAAUAUAAUAUAAACCACAUGAUUUAUAUCCUGGGUCGGCUAUCUCCACAAAGGGCAAGAAAACGCUCCAAGUUUGUAGUAUAGCACUAAAAGUGUCGAUUCUCACGAUUUCUUCCCGACAUAUACAAACUAGACAGUAAUCACAUAAAAUAAAGAAAUAUGUGUUAACACGAACUUAUAGCAUGUAUUUCAACAUAUAGAUUUUUGAUUAUUAUGGUAGAUUAUAUAAAAUAGGGGUUCCCGAAGAAAUACAUAAAAACAAGAGCAUUAAAAUUUCCUUUUCAGAUCUGGCUAUCUGGUAAAAGGAGUUGGAGUAACUGAGUUUCCAAAUUUGUGACGUAGCUCUAUAGAAGGAAUAUAAAUACGUUGGAAAAAUUCUAUAAGGAAAGGUUUAAUACAAGUAGGGCUAAGAAAAACUCAAUGAGGCUUUGGUCGCAUGGUCACAAAACUUGAGACAAGAAACACGAAGACACCAAGGUAAUUAGUAUGAGAGUUUUCCAAAUUUGGUGUCUUGAUGUAGAAAAAAUAAAUAUAUGACAAAUUUGUUUUUUCGCAAGGCAUGGAUAAAUAAGUGGGGGUGAGCAAUAAAUUUCAUCCUAGAUUUAGAAGGAAUAAAUAUAUCACUAAAUACAUUUUUUCACAAUGCCAAAUUAAUCAGGUGGGAGCGAGAAACAAUUGUAGCGAGGCUAGGUUGUACUAGCCCAAAACUACAUACAACAGAGGAAAAAUGAAGAAAAUGAUGGUCUACCAAAUAUGGCGCAUGAGCCUUAAGGUGCACCUAGAGGGAAGUAGAAGAAAUAAAUAUAUAAUAGCAUAUGUUUUUCGCAAUGCAUGGUAAAGUGUAGAUGUGCUCUAACUGGGCUUAGAUUGCAGCGACACAUUAUGCAUCUACAAGGCUUGGUUGCACAUGGAAAAAGAUACAAAAAGAAAUGUAGACGCAGGACCGGGAGAAAAACAUUCAAUGAGACGUGAUUGCACGGACAUAGAACUAGAUAUAAGACAAGAGUUAAAGAAAAAUAAAGGAACUAAAUUUUCUUCUGCACACUAAGCAUGAAUGGAGUUGUAGUAUCUGAGAUCAAAAUUUAAUUUAUUCCAAGAUGCAGAACAAAAAUUUGAUACUCGUAAUGGUUACAUAGGAGCAAAAGUAGAUAAGAAAAAUAGCAAAAAGAUAGUGGUCUACCAGAGAGGGCACAUGUGCCUCAAUUGGCCUAUAGCAUAGCGACUCAUUAUCCUUCCACCGCUGGUGGCGGGCGGUACUCGCUGCUCUGUGAAGCCAGCCUCACACAAUGUCCGCCACUUUAGGUGUUGGGAUGCAAAGGCUUUCGCCAAGGCAUCCGAAACCCACUACACAACUUGGAAUGGGUGGUCCACUGUUUGUAGCACUAGACCCAGGCACAUGCACCACAAUUGACAUCCACACUACCUUAUUGCCCCGCUCGGGUUACAAGCAAUCGCUACUUGCUCAGCGAGUGAGGGGGUUCAAGACUACCUAUUUAAGGUGGUGUUGUACUCUAUGAGCCGGCGGUGUGGUAUUUACCAACUACAAAUAGUGUCAUGCAUGUGACUUGCUAGUUGACAAUGUCUGUUGUCAAGCUAGGUGUGGGCUAUGGAUGAAGCACAUUAGGAUAUAGUAGGCCUAUUUUGUUUUUUGUUGUUUUUGGGCCACUAUGGACUUUAUGUUGAUGUUGUGAAAUUUUUUUCUUGUGUUUCCUCUUCCUACGAUGUGGAAAGUGGGUGCGUCAGAGAAGAAAGAAAGAGUGGCUAGCAUUGAUUUUACGUCAUACCAUUGAGAACACUAAUCAGAAGCAGAAGCAACAAUAUUUCAUACAUAUACAACACUUGUAAUCCAUAUAAACAACAUUCCUUUAAAAUAUAAUAUAAACCACAUGAUUUAUAUCCUGGGUCGGCUAUCUCCACAAAGGGCAAGAAAACGCUCCAAGUUUGUAGUAUAGCACUAAAAGUGUCGAUUCUCACGAUUUCUUCCCGACAUAUACAAACUAGACAGUAAUCACAUAAAAUAAAGAAAUAUGUGUUAACACAAACUUAUAGCAUGUAUUUCAACAUAUAGAUUGUUGAUUAUUAUGGUAGAUUAUAUAAAAUAGGGGUUCCCGAAGAAAUACAUAAAAACAAGAGCAUUAAAAUUUCCUUUUCAGAUCUGGCUAUCUGGUAAAAGGAGUUGGAGUAACUGAGUUUCCAAAUUUGUGACGUAGCUCUAUAGAAGGAAUAUAAAUACGUUGGAAAAAUUCUAUAAGGAAAGGUUUAAUACAAGUAGGGCUAAGAAAAACUCAAUGAGGCUUUGGUCGCAUGGUCACAAAACUUGAGACAAGAAACACGAAGACACCAAGGUAAUUAGUAUGAGAGUUUUCCAAAUUUGGUGUCUUGAUGUAGAAAAAAUAAAUAUAUGACAAAUUUGUUUUUUCGCAAGGCAUGGAUAAAUAGGUGGGGGUGAGCAAUAAAUUUCAUCCUAGAUUUAGAAGGAAUAAAUAUAUCACUAAAUAUGUUUUUUCACAAUGCCAAGUUAAUCAGGUGGGAGCGAGAAACAAUUCUAGCGAGGCUAGGUUGUACUAGCCCAAAACUACAUACAACAGAGGAAAAAUGAAGAAAAUGAUGGUCUACCAAAUAUGGCGCAUGAGCCUUAAGGUGCACCUAGAGGGAAGUAGAAGAAAUAAAUAUAUAAUAGCAUAUAUUUUUCGCAAUGCAUGGUAAAGUGUAGAUGUGCUCUAACUGGGCUUAGAUUGCAGCGACACAUUAUGCAUCUACAAGGCUUGGUUGCACAUGGAAAAAGAUACAGAAAGAAAUGUAGACGCAGGACCGGGAGAAAAACAUUCAAUGAGACGUGAUUGCACAGACAUAGAACUAGAUAUAAGACAAGAGUUAAAGAAAAAUAAAGGAACUAAAUUUUCUUCUGCACACUAAGCAUGAAUGGAGUUGUAGUAUCUGAGAUCAAAAUUUAAUUUAUUCCAAGAUGCAGAACAAAAAUGUGAUACUCGUAAUGGUUACAUAGGAACAAAAGUAGUUAAGAAAAAUAGCAAAAAGAUAGUGGUCUACCAGAGAGGGCACAUGUGCCUCAAUUGGCCUAUAGCAUAGCGACUCAUUAUCCUUCCACCGCUGGUGGCGGGCGGUACUCGCUGCUCUGUGAAGCCAGCCUCACGCAAUGUCCGCCACUUUAGGUGUUGGGAUGCAAAGGCUUUCGCCAAGGCAUCCGAAACCCACUACACAACUUGGAAUGGGUGGUCCACAGUUUGUAGCACUAGACCCAGGCACAUGCACCACAAUUGACAUCCACACUACCUU
Molecule: long non-coding RNA, 11460 nt
Filed under: Zea mays
Lineage: Eukaryota; Viridiplantae; Streptophyta; Magnoliopsida; Poales; Poaceae
Description: long non-coding RNA (ZMAY_LNC000227)
Source: RNAcentral